CGGCAACGUGAUUUUGUCCCGGUGGAUGAAGGCAAGGUAGUCCGCAAUCAAUCACUGGAUCAAAUUCAAGCACGACACGAUGACUCCCCGGUGUGGAAAGGAGGCAGUCUACAAAUGCGCGUCCUUCAGCGGUAACAAUUUUCAAUGGAUAGGGAGCGGCUCGGCACCCACACUCAAAAACACAGUCGAGACGAUUAAACAACACCAACAAACCGACAGCUUAGCAGUAGGAAUUUGGGGGCCCAAGGUUAACAAAAUGAACCUACUGUUGUGGAGGCUACGGUGGAGGAAGGUUCCGAUCCUGUAUCGAAUUCAGAGGAGAAGCUUGGUAGGUCCAAUAAGAUGUGUGUUAUGUGCUAACGACGUGAAGACGAUCGACCAUGUCUUCCACAAUUGCUCUUUCUCCGGGUAAGUAAUUGAAAAAUGUUUAGCGGUAGCAGGGAACUUGAUCAGAGUAGGGUCUAAUCGGACUUUCAGCUCAGUCGUUGAAUCCAUACAUGCACUCACCAAUCAUUCAAAGGAUUGGGCUACUGGGAGCGGAAUGAAAGGAAAAUCGGCUACCGCCAGAAUAGCUUCAGGAAGGAGAAAUGGAAUAGGAAAGCGUCCUAUGUAGUUUCGCCAACUGGUAAGCUUCUUCAGCCUCCAGAACUGCCGACUGCAUCGUUUAACUUGUUUAUCUACAUAUAGUUUAAAUCAUAGACAUAUGACUGCCUACAGCCUUAUACAGGAUAUUGUAGUAAUAACUAAUGAAUGCUCAUAAAUCAAUAAACAUACUACAUGAUUUUAACAUCGAUAAAAUUGUUUAAAUGAAGUUUGACAUAUUGUUUCUCUGAAAUAAUAUUCUUAUUCUAAUAAAUCGUUAGGUUUAUAAUUUAUAAAAUAUUAUUGCAACAAAAUGUCCACCAAUAAAAAUGCUGUUG
This 920-nucleotide long non-coding RNA is filed under the name Zostera marina. Its description in RNAcentral is "long non-coding RNA (ZMAR_LNC001278)". The record is from RNAcentral. Lineage: Eukaryota; Viridiplantae; Streptophyta; Magnoliopsida; Alismatales; Zosteraceae.